GCUCUUUCAGGGACGCUGUAAGAAUAACAGCCAAGACUCCCUCCUCUGAAAGUAGUGAAUAAGAAUCUGAAACCAAGAGGAUGUCAAAUCACUUCUCUCAUUCAGGACCUGGAAGGGAGUCCAUCCAGGGAGAACUGUUAUGAGGAUGGAGACCUAGAGCUGAAUCAGGUACACACCUAAUGGUAUGAGUGGCAGUUUCAAAUCCAUUCUACACUCUGCUGCAGCUGACAAUAGGCAGCAUCAGCAGCUGAAAGAUGAGAGUUUGGGUGAAGAUAUGGUCUUUCUGCUUGGUGGGUUUAGAGAAAGGAACUGGACCUUCCCAGACCAGCAUCUUGUUUUUGGAAUCCAGCUGUCUGCAGGAAGCACACACCCUGCUCUGUCCUUUGUGACUAGAGUGUUGACUGCAAGAUGAGGCAAAGGCAAAUAGGUGGAAUAACUGGAGAAUAACCCAGAAUGAGACACAGAAAGAGGAUUUUGAAAGGAUUUCCUUGCCUAUUAUCUGCUUUCUGAGAGAGCCACACAAAACAGGGGAAAAAACUGGAGAAUAAUGGUUGUGUCAUCAUGACAAACAACUGACAUAGUUGAGGCCAGUCGAAGGCCCAGAGCAACCCUGGUCCUGUAGUCAGAGACGACUUAUGAAAAUAAAUGAAUCUGGCUCAUUGACUUGAGUUCUUGUACCCAAACUGGAAAGGUGUGGUACCUGACACAGGAACAAAGUCUGUCUGAAAUCAGCUGUCCGGGAUGUCAUUUUCUCUAGUGCAGAGACUCGAUUGCCUAAAUUGGUAGCAGAGGUGGAUGUUUCCUAACAUGAUCUUCCUUGGCCAACAGUGACUGACAUCUGAGAUUCAGAGCCAGGGUUGAGUCCUCCUCACAGGGCGAGUUCUCUGACAAGGAAGUUUUGCAACCUAAUUUACAGCUGGAGCCAAGCUUGUCAGUGAGUGCCAGAGGGAAACUGUCGCAAUCGGCAGGCAAAGUAUAUUCAUUUAACAAGGGGAGUCUCUGAGGAGCUAUCAAAAACUGCUUGCCAUCUUUCCAAAUCAUCUCUGUCUGCAGUGACCAUGUCUUAAUCCUGAAGGAAAACAAGGUGGAAAUUGAUUUUUACUUCUCUGCAGCUAAGUAUGUGGCAGUCUUGGCCACAUGGUGACUCAGCAGAGGAGCCUAUGUACUGGCUGUCCUGAUGCUCUUCCUGAUUCAACUGAUUCUCUACACUUGAUCUUAGCCAAAAGGCCGAGAAGCAAUGAUUCAACUGAUUCUCAAAAGGACACCGCUGCAGGAAUAAACCCACUUCUAAAUAUGGUACACUUGGAAAGUUGUCCAGCUCGCAAUGUCAGAGUCACAGACUUCAUGCACACUCAUCUCAAGUCAAUGUUAUCUAACACAUUUCCACUAAUUAUUGGAUGACACUAGCAAGAAACUCUGAUAUUUUUCACCUAACCUUUGCUAAUUUAAAUGUGGCCAGCCCACCCUCAUACUGCAUUGUGAUGGGGAUAUAAAAGCCAAUGAAAGAUAUCAUUAAUUGUUAACAAUAGUCAUCACUGACAACUUCCUGUUGAAUGUCACUGUUACUCCUGCUACUGCUACUACCACUACCAUUUAUGAAGCUGCCAUUAUUACUAACUCAAAGCUUUCACAGAUACAGAAACAGGUGUAUUUUUUGUUUUGUUUUGUUUUUUGUUUUUGUUUGAGAGAGAGUCUUACUCUGUCGGCCAGGCUGGAGUGCAGUGGCACAAUCUCGGUUCACUGCAACGUCCGCCUCCCGGGUUCAAGCAAUUCUUGUGCCUCAGCCUCCCGAGUAGCUGGGAUUACAGGCAUGUGCCACCAUGCCUGGCUAAUUUUUGUAUUUUUAGUAGAGACGGGGUUUUACCAUGUUGGCCAGGCUGGUCUCAAACUCCUGACUUCAGGUAAUCCACCUGCCUAGGCCUCCCAAAGUGCUGGGAUUACAGGCAUGAGCCACCGUGCCUGGCCAGAAACAGGUGUAUCUUUAAAGCAUAACUUCCUCUCUGCAUCUUGCUUCCCCUCUUUCUGUCCCUUCUCCUCUCCCACCCCCACAGUUUUGGCUUCACUUUGCUCAGGCUGUGACAACUGUCUUUAAGGGAGCUAACUUUUAUCUGACUGUAAAGCCAAGCAAACUAAUCUUGCAAAACUGUUCUGCCACAUAGGUUGGUCUCUUCCUGUUUGGAAUUCAUCUAUAUAUUAGCAACUUGGAAAGCCUUUGAGCUGAGCUAGUGCGCAAAGCUGCACCUUAGACUGUGGUUUACAGUGCUGCUUAAUUGUCACAACGGUGUCACUCACCUUGUCCUCACCUAACCUGCAAGGUAGACAUUUAGGCUGCUUUCUUCAUCAGUGUAAGGUGAAAUAGCAGAUUGGUGUGUAAAAAGUGUGGCUUGGAGUGUGGUGGUAUGAACUGUGGGAUUAUUUACUAUAGGGUCUCAUUGCAAAUCCUUUAGAACACUUGCCUCUUACACCUUUUGUCUGUCUGCUCUUAAAUAUUUUCUGUCCUUCCAGCAUGCUAUCUCUACCUAACAGAAGGGGUCAUAUCUGUCUCAACUAAAAGUCAUUCCAUUUGGGUCAUUCGUCUGGAGGCUGAGACAGUGGAAGAGUCAAACUUGCCCUGAGCUUCACUCAGCCAGUACCUGUCUCCUCUGCCCACUGUCCAGCAACUUACCCUGACCCAUCCUUUAAGGAACUUGCCAAGAGAGAGCAGAAUACUCUUUCUUUCUCUCUCUCUCUCUCUUUUUUUGUCUUUCAUUUAUUCUUUGGAUAUAAACUGCAGACCUACUGGUUGUAAAGCACUGAGUUUCACAGUGAGGGCAACAAAAGAAUAGAACACCUGGUUCCUAUUCUGAGAGGGUCACCUCUGUUCACACAACUUCUGCCCAUCUGACUCAAUCUACUAGGUAAGCGGCAGAGGGGCUUCCUUCCCCCCAAAACCUCUACUGAAUUAUAAAAGAUGGGGAAAUUGGAAUUUAGCAUUUUCAAAACCCCACCUCUUCUUGCAGAUUUACUUUCUUUCACUUUCCCAAGCAGACUUCAUGUGGCAACCAAACUAUACUGUCAAGUACCCUCUGAACCCGCCUGCCCUUCCUGCCUGCAUGCGUCAUGGAAGAGCUGCCUUUGCCCCAGGACACUGCUCUGGCCCCAUUACCAUCACCAUCACCAAGGAAAAUACAUCCCUUAUAUUUCAAAGCCCUAGUUCAAGCAUGUCUUCCUUUCAGGCAGAUAAAAUUAUUUUAUGCUUAAAGAUGCAGAAAAAAUGACACACACACACACACACACACACACACUCAUAAAACAACUUUAGAGUCUAUAAGAUCUCAUUCUGCACUUGGGUGCUUACUAAAAAUAUCUCACUGGAAGAAUAACUAGCCUUAGUUUCCACAUCUGCAAAAUGGAGAUAACAAUACUAUAAAAUGAUUAUGGCUUUUUGAUGAUGUAGUUUGCAUAAAUGGCCUAGCCAAGUACCCGGCACCCGUAGGUACUCUACAAAUGCUAGUCAGCAUCCCUUCUUGGAAAUCUCCACGAUUAAAUGAUAUCUUAUGCAGCUGUUUGCAGCUUAUCUCCUGUUAGACUCCAAGCUGCUUAAGAAUAGUGACUAUGGGCUUAUUCACAUGGGGUUCCCUGCAGCCUUGCUUAGUGCUUUGUACCUAACAGAUGCUAAGGCAUAUUGGAUACAACAGUUUAUUACUGUAAAAAUACAAAUGACCAUAGGUCUGGAAAGAGCCAGGCUCAGCAGGGUACAAAGCAGGCCUGGGGGUACAAAGCCCAGGCUCUUUAGAACCUUUGCCUUAGCUCAGCAAGGUUCUCAAGGGUGGAGUAAUUGCAGAGAGAAAAUGGCAGGCUCCAUGUGCAGGCUUAUGUGAUUUAGGGCCACAGACUGACCCUUCCUGGGGUCACCCACAAGAUGAAUCAGGAAAAGAGAGAACAGAGAUGGGGCCAGCUGCUCCCAGAUCCUUAGACAUUCUAAAUAAGGGGGAGAGACUCAGUCUUUUCUGAUUAAUCUUUGAUGAUUUAUUCUUUGGACAUCAUUUAAAAGGAGCAUUUUAAAGUAAAUUAAUUGAACUCUCAUGACCUUUUACCCUACUAAUAUCAUCAAAAGAAACUAGAUCUUGAAUUUUAAAAAGCGCUUGAUUUAUUUUCUGUGACUUACAAACUACUGAAGAACAUCAGUUUUUAUUUUUUGAAAUUAUGAAAACUCCAGCUUUUAAAGCAAGAAGUCAAAACAGCUCAGUUUUGAAACAUCCCAAUUUUAGCAAAUGAGUAUUGAGUGAAAGGUGUCAUAGACAUUGGUAAAAGAUAAAUAUGUAAUUUAAUACACAGAAAACUGGGUAAGUAUUGUCUUCAAAAAGCCAAUUCCCCUUCUACCACACUGACCCUGAUGGUAUUCUUGAGUCCAAAUGACUUGGGUAAAUUCUGAUUAGUAUAAACCAGUUUUUUUUUUUUUUAAUUAUUUUACUUUAAGCUCUGGGAUAUAUGUCCAGAACAUGCAGGUUUGGUACUUAGGUAUAUAUGUGCCAUGGUGGUUUGCCACACCUUAUCAACCUGUCAUUUAGGUUUUAAGUCCCACAUGCAUUAGGUAUUUGUCUUAACGCUCUCCCUCCCCUUGCUCCCAACCCCCUGACAGGUCCCAGUGUGUGAUGUUCCCCUCCCUGUGUCCAUGUGAUCUCAUUGUUCAACUCCCACUUAUGAGUGAGAACAUGUGGUGCUUGGUUUUGUGUUCCUGUGUUAGUUUGCUGAGAAUGAUGGUUUCCAGCUUCAUCCAUGUCCCUGCAAAGGACAUGAACUCAUUCUUUUUUAUGGCUGCAUAGUAUUCCAUGGUGUGUAUGUGCCACAUUUUCUUUACCCAGUCUAUCAUUGCUUGGCAUUUGGGUUGGUCCCAAGUUUUUGCUAUUGUAAAUAGUCCUGCAAUAAACAUACGUGUGCAUGUGUCUUUAUAGUAGAAUUUAUAAUCCUUUGGUAUAUACCCAAUAAUGGGAUUGCUGGGUCAAAUGGUAUUUCUAAACCAGUGUUUUUUUGUUUGUUUGUUUGUUUUGUUUUUUUUAAAGUGCAGGAAGCAGUUUAUUAAUUAAUUCUAAAAUCAAUUUAGUACUUUGAAUCAGAAUUUUUUAAAUUAAUUGAUAGUAUAAAGAAUAAAAUAGAAUGGAAAAUAUCUGGAGGUACUGCACAUAAGGAUUCCAAUUUCUAUUUUCAGAACUUUCAUUUGUAAUUUAUGUACGCAUCUAACGUGUAUUUACGUGUAUACUGAGUUAGGGUGUACAACUUUUCCCUGAGGCUGUAUCUCAAAAACUUUGGAAGCUGAAGAAUUUGUCCAAAUCUAUGUUCCUUUUUGUUUGUAAAUCACCUGAUGAUGGUGAUAUAGCUGUGGCCAACGAAAUGUCAAGGGAAGUCUGCUGGGGAAGGUAGACGUAGGAUAGGAGUAUGGGAAAAAAUUAUUCACUCAAAAGCAUGAUGCACAGAGGAGCUAUGAUCUUUUCUUGUUUUCCUCACUGGAUGUUGUCAUGUCUGUAUGUACUUCCUGGAACUGUGGCACCAUCUUACAACCAUGAAAGGAGCUCACAUGAAAUCAUGUUGAACAUAGCAGAGCGGGAAGAUGGAAGGAAUCCGAGAUCUAUGUUUGAUGUUAAGCGAUGAUGUUAAAAACUUAAAAAACUCCAGAACUCUCUUACCCCUGGGCUUGUUAUAAUAAAAAGAUAAUAAUCCUCUUAGUGUUUAAGG
This 5712-nucleotide long non-coding RNA is filed under the name Homo sapiens (human). Its description in RNAcentral is "HSALNT0336371". The record is from RNAcentral. Lineage: Eukaryota; Metazoa; Chordata; Mammalia; Primates; Hominidae.